Non-coding RNA from Lentinula edodes (shiitake mushroom), 96 nucleotides. The record is from Rfam. Lineage: Eukaryota; Fungi; Basidiomycota; Agaricomycetes; Agaricales; Omphalotaceae.
GGUUCAAUGGCGUAGUGGUUAUCGCAUCUGUCUUACACUUUUCAAAAUAGUUACACUUUGCACAGAAGGUCUCCGGUUCGAUCCCGGGUUGAAUCA